This is a small nucleolar RNA of Amaranthus tricolor (Joseph's coat), 90 nucleotides long. NCBI's taxonomy places the organism in Eukaryota, Viridiplantae, Streptophyta, Magnoliopsida, Caryophyllales, Amaranthaceae. The record is from RefSeq and is a predicted model, not a curated record.
AGUGGGCAAUUGAUGAAAUUUUGUUUAUAAAUGGGUAAUUUGCGUCUGAUAUUCAUUGAUGCUAACUUUUUCUUACAACUGAUGCCUACU